GCGUUUUGUUUUAAUCUGUGUCAAAAAGGCGUUUACCAGAACGUAAUAGGUGUUUGCACAUAACGUAAUUGGUGUUUGCACAUAACGUAAUAGGUGUUUGCACAUAACGUAAUAGAUGUUUGACCAUAUUGUAAUAGGCAUUUCCACAAAGCGUUAUCGGUGUUUGCACAUCAUGUAAGCGGUAUUUGCACAUAACGUAAUAGUGCUUGCACAUAAUGAUGUAGUUGUUAUACAUAACUUAAUAGGUAUUUACGCAUAACGUAAUAGGUGUUUGCACAUGAGAUAAACUAUGUUUGCACAUAAGGUAAACGAUGUUUGCACAUAGGGGAACGAUGUAUGCACAUAAGGUAAACGAGGUUUGCACAAAACGUUUAAGUUGUUUGCACAUAAUGUAAAAGGCAUUUGCACAUGACGUAAUGAAUGCUCACAGAGAGUAUCAAUUGUUCGGCAAAACGCAUAGGAACUAUACCAUGAUGUGUUGUGUUUGUCACUGGAGAUACAUAUGUAUUAACACAACAUAAUGCCAAAAGACUAUAAUAUCAUGAGGUUAACAUAGAACAAAGGUGUAUCAAAACAAAAC
This 580-nucleotide long non-coding RNA is filed under the name Mytilus galloprovincialis (Mediterranean mussel). Lineage: Eukaryota; Metazoa; Mollusca; Bivalvia; Mytilida; Mytilidae. The record is from RNAcentral.